CCUACGGGUGGCUGCAGUGGGGAAUAUUGCACAAUGGGGGAAACCCUGAUGCAGCGACGCCGCGUGAGUGAAGAAGCGUUUCGGCGCGUAAAGCUCUAUCAGCAGGGAAGAAAAACGCGAGGCGCGGACGGUACCUGACCAAGAAGCCCCGGCUAACUACGUGCCAGCAGCCGCGGUAAUACGUAGGGGGCAAGCGUUAUCCGGAUUUACUGGGUGUAAAGGGAGCGUAGACGGCAUGGCAAGUCUGAAGUGAAAGCCCGGGGCUCAACCCCGGGACUGCUUUGGAAACUGUUUGGCUGGAGUGCAGGAGAGGUAAGUGGAAUUCCUAGUGUAGCGGUGAAAUGCGUAGAUAUUAGGAGGAACACCAGUGGCGAAGGCGGCUUACUGGACUGUAACUGACGUUGAGGCUCGAAAGCGUGGGGAGCAAACAGGAUUAGAUACCCUGGUAGUC
RNAcentral lists this ribosomal RNA (451 nucleotides) under Streptococcus agalactiae. Its description in RNAcentral is "bacterial SSU rRNA". It matches the Rfam family "Bacterial small subunit ribosomal RNA", at positions 338 to 795 of the family's 1533-position model. The record is from RNAcentral. Lineage: Bacteria; Bacillati; Bacillota; Bacilli; Lactobacillales; Streptococcaceae.